Molecule: non-coding RNA, 134 nt
Organism: Triticum aestivum (bread wheat)
Lineage: Eukaryota; Viridiplantae; Streptophyta; Magnoliopsida; Poales; Poaceae
Source: Rfam
GUAGUACUCUUCUGUCCUGAAAUACUUGUCAUCAAAAGGAAUAAAAUGGGAUGUAUCUAGAUAUAUUUUAGUUCUAGAUACAUCCUUUUUUGUGUUUUUUGAUGACAAGUAUUUUCGGACGGAGGGAGUAUUUU